Molecule: ribosomal RNA, 591 nt
Filed under: Triticum aestivum (bread wheat)
Lineage: Eukaryota; Viridiplantae; Streptophyta; Magnoliopsida; Poales; Poaceae
Description: partial small subunit ribosomal RNA
Source: RNAcentral
CUCUCUGAAGUGGCGAGAUGGUUGACCGUAGCAAAGGUGAAUACACACAAGUUCUUCAAUCCAGAUUCUUUCAAGGACACAAUGGGGUAUGCUUGGAACCUGACGCACAAACCAGAAAUUAGGGAGGAUAGCGAUGAUCUCUUCAUGAUCCAGUGCUUCUAUCUGGGAGAUUGGAACAAGAUCAUGCAACACGGACUGUGGAUUUUUCGUGGUUUGGUGGUAAUGAUUGAGGAGUAUGAUGGAAAUGGCAGACCGGGUUCAGUUACUCUAGAAUUUAUAACUGUAUGGACACAAAUUCAUGAUAUCCCAUAUCUCUACCGGUCCCAACGCAUAGGAGACCAGCUAGCACAGAGAAUUGGCUAGGUCAAGAGUGUAGAGUUGAACCUAGCUAGGGGUUAUGAAGGAAACGGUGUCCGAGUCAGGGCCAAGAUUGAAGUAUCAAAUCCUCUGACCCGGUUUACACGGCUGAAUGUCAAUGGCAAGGAGAUAAUUUUUCUGUUGGUAAAAUAUGAAAAACUUGGCUACUUAUGUCUGUGGCAUCCUAGGCCACAUAACAUGGAAGAGUGUGGAGAUGGAUUCCAUGGGACAUAA